This 253-nucleotide ribosomal RNA is filed under the name uncultured bacterium. RNAcentral's name for it is "partial 16S ribosomal RNA". It matches the Rfam family "Bacterial small subunit ribosomal RNA", at positions 524 to 776 of the family's 1533-position model. The record is from RNAcentral.
CACGGGGGGAGCAAGCGUUGUUCGGAUUCAUUGGGCGUAAAGGGCUCGUAGGUGGCUUUGUAAGUCGGAGGUGAAAUCCCACGGCUCAACCGUGGACACGCCUUCGAAACUGUGAAGCUUGAGGCUGGGAGAGGAGAUCGGAAUUCCUGGUGUAGCGGUGGAAUGCGUAGAGAUCCGGAAGAACACCGGUGGCGAAGGCGGCCUGCUGGGCAGUUGCUGACACUGAGGCGCGACAGCGUGGGGAGCAAACAGG